CACGUAGGGGGCGAGCGUUGUCCGGAUUUAUUGGGCGUAAAGCGCGUGUAGGCGGCAUGGCAAGUCGGGUGUGAAAGCCCUCAGCUUAACUGAGGAAGUGCGCCCGAAACUGCCGUGCUUGAGUGCCGGAGAGGGUGGCGGAAUUCCCCAAGUAGAGGUGAAAUUCGUAGAUAUGGGGAGGAACACCGGUGGGCGAAGGCG
This 201-nucleotide ribosomal RNA is filed under the name uncultured bacterium. RNAcentral's name for it is "partial 16S ribosomal RNA". It matches the Rfam family "Bacterial small subunit ribosomal RNA", at positions 524 to 723 of the family's 1533-position model. The record is from RNAcentral.